CAAAUACGAAGUUGGUCUUACAGAACUGGGGAUAGUACCUCUGAUAUCGUUUGAGUGAAUUGCUAGUUACAUACCACCAAAAGCUAAGAUAAGCAGCAGCAGAGGAAAUUUUGAGGACUGUCUGCUCCCUAACUCCUCCCUGCAUCAGAUCUCCCUUCAGCACCCUGGGCUCCUCUCCAGUUCCCUGGCCUCUCUUCUGGGACAUAGAACUCAUUCCUGUGGAUGUGUAAGAACGCUGAUGCCUUAUUCCUCCAUGGCCAGGGAAUAUGUUCAUGAUACAGGAAGAGGACAAGAAAAUGAGCAUUCAUGUGGAAAUAUUAGACAUCUCUCUAGGUGGGUAUUUCAGUACAGGGUCUACCCAUCCCCCUUCAAAUCUGCCCUGUAAGUGACUGCAGAAGUUGAAACUUCCAACACUUGAGGCUCCAUCUUAGAGGCAUCAUUCCUCAUUUGGAAACAUCAUUGCCAGAGGCAGAAAUGGCCCAGCAAGUAAACUUUUUUUGGGGGGGUAUAUAAAAUCAAUUAUUAAAUAAAAUAUUGCAGAAGACUGUAGUUAUAUAGGAAAACUUUUUGAAUUUACUUAACAAUGAGAUAUGAAAGGGAAGAAUUCAAUUCUACCCCCGUGGAACUGACAAUAGGAAAAAUGUUCUCCCUUUCAGACUUGAGAAGGUUUUACUGCUAAGAUCUGCGGAUGGAAUAAUCAGGCUGAAUACAAACAUGCUUUUCUUCUCCGAUAGUGCUUAGGAAGCAGUGGUACUUGCACAACUGUUUGUAAGGGGGAGUGAAGUGAGUUGUCAUCUCAUAGUAAUCUGCCUCUCUCUAUCAUCGGCACAGUUCCUAUUUUUUAUUCCCCUCCGGCUUGCUUAGAUUUUCUUUUGGUUUAUUCUCCUGAAAAGUCUUAGAGAGCAUGAGCUAAUAUCAACUAAAUCGUAAAUAUUUAAAGGCAGGCACAAUAUCUGGUAGUUACUGGGUUAUGACCAUGUAAUGCUUGGUGUGAAACCUGAAUUGUUUUUACUUUGUAUUAGGAAUUAAUACCUAUUACUAAACCUGUAUAAAUAAUAAAGUGGCUGGGAAAAAGACAUAAAAUGAGAAAUUGCUACCAUAGAAACUACCAAUGUUUCCACACUGUCACUGUGGUAUAAAAGAGCUCCGUUUUUAAUAAUUUACCAUUAAAAAUGAAUUUUCUCCAAAAGACCACUUCUAUAGUAAUAUCUCAAUUCCCCAAGAUUAUCUAUCAGAGAUAAAAACCAAAGCUGCCUAAUAUCCACAGUCUAGGGAAGAAUUCAAUUAGCAAAUUCAUGUGUGAGGCUCUGCUUGCACUAGAAAUUCUAGUUUAGGUGAGAAUUUUGGUACUGAUUAUGAUUUUUAGUAGCAUCUAUGUCCCUCAUGAAUCUUAACAUUUCAAGCCAGAUUUAUUUUUAUGUGUUAAUAUUCAAGUACAAGAUCUUACAUAAAUAACUAUACAAGCAAGACUGGAUGUGAAAACAGACAUACAAUAAAUGCACUUGUCAUUUUCUAU
RNAcentral lists this long non-coding RNA (1516 nucleotides) under Homo sapiens (human). RNAcentral's name for it is "HSALNT0108387". The record is from RNAcentral. Lineage: Eukaryota; Metazoa; Chordata; Mammalia; Primates; Hominidae.